GCUCCAUUCGGCUCAGUUGGUAGAGCGUCAGUCUCAUAAUAUGAAGGUCGCCAGUUCGAGCCUGGCAGGGAGCA
Molecule: transfer RNA, 74 nt
Filed under: Phytophthora infestans T30-4
Lineage: Eukaryota; Oomycota; Peronosporomycetes; Peronosporales; Peronosporaceae
Description: tRNA-Met for anticodon CAU
Rfam family: tRNA
About the family: Transfer RNA (tRNA) molecules are approximately 80 nucleotides in length.
Source: Rfam by way of RNAcentral